Oncorhynchus tshawytscha (Chinook salmon) is the source of this 853-nucleotide long non-coding RNA. RefSeq lists it as uncharacterized. Lineage: Eukaryota; Metazoa; Chordata; Actinopteri; Salmoniformes; Salmonidae. The record is from RefSeq and is a predicted model, not a curated record. The transcript is spliced from 3 exons.
UGUAGCCCUCCUCUCACCCUGGUCCAGUCAGCCAGCCACACUGCUCUCUGAUCCACAGCACCACUGCAGUAAGGUGAGGGAAGGACGGAGGGGCACUCAGCCAGCCACACAGCUCUCUGAUCCACAGCACCACUGCAGUAAGGUGAGGGAAGGACGGAGGGGCACUCAGCCAGCCACACAGCUCUCUGAUCCACAGCACCACUGCAGUAAGGUGAGGGAAGGACGGAGGGGCACUCAGCCAGCCACACAGCUCUCUGAUCCACAGCACCACUGCAGUAAGAUUUGAGAGACAGAAAGAGAGAGUUGAUUGAGCUGGGCCUUGAUGAGCUGAUGGAGCUGACGGCGCAGAGCCUGAGCCACCUAGAGAUUAAAGAGCACUUCAACAUCAUCAAGGAAAUCGGCUGGGGGGAGUAUGACAAGGUGCUGCUGGUCACCCAUCGCUGCAGGGGAACACCGAUGGCCUCCACCAAGCUCCGGGGAUUCCUACGGGAGUAUUGCAUCUCCUUGCACCUGUCCUGCCACUCCUGCAUUGUGGGUCUCUUCGGAAUUGCCUUCCAAUCCAAUGAGCGCUAUGGCUUUGCCCAGGAGCUUGUUAUUGGGAGGGAAAGUAAAAGAGUAAACUUAACUCAUUGUUUAAUUUUGAUGUAGUAAAUCUGUGACCUAUAAAGUGUUUAAGAAAACAAUUAAAAGGUGCAUGUUAUCAAUGUUAUUCCUUUAAGUAUCCAUAAAGCUCAAUGUGUUGUCAAAAAAAUUCCAUAUGGACUGUACAGUCUUCUAAUUCACAUGUUAGACAGGUACAAUGACCCCAGAACAAAUGGUGUAGCCAUGUUGCAAGGCACACUAUCCAUAACCC